GGUCGAUUAGCUCAGUUGGUUAGAGCGUGGUGCUAAUAUCAGUAGAUAUGAUACGCCAAGGUCGCGAGUUCGACCCUCGUAUUGACCA
Patellaria atrata CBS 101060 is the source of this 88-nucleotide non-coding RNA. Lineage: Eukaryota; Fungi; Ascomycota; Dothideomycetes; Patellariales; Patellariaceae. The record is from the annotation of a GenBank genome assembly.